Acanthochromis polyacanthus (spiny chromis) is the source of this 1230-nucleotide long non-coding RNA. RefSeq lists it as uncharacterized. The record is from RefSeq and is a predicted model, not a curated record. The transcript has 2 exons. NCBI's taxonomy places the organism in Eukaryota, Metazoa, Chordata, Actinopteri, Pomacentridae.
CCAUGUAAAGCUCCCAACAAAGACAACAUCAACAUCAUCAGAGCUGUCAAGUGGAGCAGACCUGAUCAGGAUCCAGAUUAUUAUGUUCUUUACUACAGAAAUCCACACUUUGAUCCAGACAACCAGCAUCCAUCUUAUCAGAACCGGGUGGAUCUGCAGAACAAAGAGAUGAAGGCCGGAAACGUUUCUCUGAUUCUGAUGAAUGUGACGAUGGAGGACAGAGGAACAUACGAGUGUUGGGUUUUUCAGAGAGGAAAGUAUGAACACAUCAGCAUCACCUACCUGGAAGUUGUUGAACCAGGAGAAAAGUUUGAAGGAGCCAAGGGUGAUAUCAUCGGAGAUGAAGGAAACAAGACUGGAGGAGACCAAGUUGGAAUCAGUAGAGGACAUUUUGGAAUAGUGGCUGUGAUCUUUCCUUUUCUUACUGUGUUUGCUUCUCUUUGUUUUCUGAUGUAUAAAAGACACAAGAGGCAGAAUUCAAACCUCCUAGUUCCUCCUGAUGAAGUAGUUUAACAGACGUUAUGAAACACAGACAUGAAAGUUUUUGUGAACAGCAUCAGAACAAACCAGAGCUUGUGUAACUUUGAUGGAAGCAGCAGCAGCAGAACAAAGAGAAUCCAGGUGUGGACCAACCAUGUGGUCUCUCCUUUAACUGCCACCUUAUGGUGGUGGAGGGUUUGUGAGCUCAGAGGAUGCUGGGAGCUCUGCUGUCUGGAGUUCAGCUCCUGCUAGGGUUUCUAUUGGCAGACUGGUCCAGAAACAUCAAGUCCUCCCAACAUCUCCAUCAUCUAGAUUGAUCCUGUGGAUUGUUGCUGCUGCUGCUGGUCUUCAUCAACUUUUCUGUUGCUUUGUCUGGAAAUAAAUGUGUUCCAAAGCUCUGCAUGUUAGAACCUGAUGAAAUGUUGUGGAUGUAAAGUGUUCUGUCAGAUGAGAUCAGAAGCAGAUAGAAAAGUUCUGAUUGUCCAGAAUGAAGCAGAACUGAUGAACAACUUUAGACUGAACUGGUUUUAAUGUUUUAUCUGCUAGCAGCUCUGAUGAUGCUCUGAACUUUUAACAUGGUAAAGGUGCAGAUAAUAGAAUAUGUUUUUGAUACUUUUAUAACUGCUCAGGGUUUGUGACUUUUUUCUUCAUCCUAUAUUAUAUCUUGUUCUGUUAAUCUGUACAAAAACUUUGUACUCAGUUGCAGAAUGUAAACUGAUGAUCAGAUUCUUCAUAAAGUUCUUGUUUUAA